Microtus ochrogaster (prairie vole) is the source of this 67-nucleotide non-coding RNA. The record is from Ensembl. Lineage: Eukaryota; Metazoa; Chordata; Mammalia; Rodentia; Cricetidae.
AGAAGUUUAGGAUAACUAGUCCAAGAGCCUUCAAAGCCCUAAGUAAACAUUCAAAGUUUAACUUCUG